This 86-nucleotide non-coding RNA is filed under the name Pseudomonas indica. Lineage: Bacteria; Pseudomonadati; Pseudomonadota; Gammaproteobacteria; Pseudomonadales; Pseudomonadaceae. The record is from RNAcentral.
UGUUAUGGCGGCUGUGCGUGGGAGACCCUCGGGUCUGCCGGGUCCUAUGUGUCCGGUUCGCCAACCUGCGCACAGCCGUCACCCAU